RNAcentral lists this ribosomal RNA (465 nucleotides) under uncultured bacterium. RNAcentral's name for it is "partial 16S ribosomal RNA". It matches the Rfam family "Bacterial small subunit ribosomal RNA", at positions 28 to 507 of the family's 1533-position model. The record is from RNAcentral.
GACGAACGCUGGCGGCGUGCUUAACACAUGCAAGUCGAACGGAAAGGCCCUGCUUGCAGGGUACUCGAGUGGCGAACGGGUGAGUAACACGUGGGUGAUCUGCCCUGCACUUCGGGAUAAGCCUGGGAAACUGGGCCUAAUACCGGAUAGGAGCCAUUUUUAGUGUGAUGGUUGGAAAGUUUUUUCGGUGUAGGAUGAGCUCGCGGCCUAUCAGCUUGUUGGUGGGGUAAUGGCCUACCAAGGCGGCGACGGGUAGCCGGCCUGAGAGGGUGGACGGCCACAUUGGGACUGAGAUACGGCCCAGACUCCUACGGGAGGCAGCAGUGGGGAAUAUUGCACAAUGGGCGCAAGCCUGAUGCAGCGACGCCGCGUGGGGGAUGACGGCCUUCGGGUUGUAAACUCCUUUCGCUAGGGACGAAGCUUUUUGUGACGGUACCUAGAUAAGAAGCACCGGCUAACUACGUG